RNAcentral lists this ribosomal RNA (798 nucleotides) under Triticum aestivum (bread wheat). Its description in RNAcentral is "partial small subunit ribosomal RNA". The record is from RNAcentral. Lineage: Eukaryota; Viridiplantae; Streptophyta; Magnoliopsida; Poales; Poaceae.
AUGAAGUGCAAUAGAUCUGGUAAACCUAGGAUAAGGACAAAACCAACAGCAGCAGGAGGAAAAAGGAGAAAAUAUAAGACUGAGAAGAAUGCACCCACUGAACUAGAAAAUACUACUAACAGAAGAAGGAACUAUACCAUUAAAACAGGGUGUCAAGCUCAGAUGGUUGUUACCUGGAAAUUUGAUAUAUCACAGUGGAUGGUGACAAGGCUUAUCAUUGAGCACAACCAUGAUCUGCAUCCUCCAGGCGAAGUCAGGUUCCUCAGGUCACACAAAUUCAUCACUGAUCAAGAAAAGGAAUUAACCAGAACUUGCAAACGAGUGAACAUACCAACAAGAAAAAUAAUGGCAAUAAUGGCAUUCUUUCGAGGAAGAGGGCUUUCUUCGUUGCCAUACACAGCAAAACAGAUUAGCAACAUGGGCACGAAAAUGAGAAUAGAUAAUGGCUUGAAUGACAUGAUGCAAGUUGUCUCAUUCUUUGAACAGAAAAAAUCAGAAGAUCCUCUGUUUUACUACUCAUUCAAAACAGAUCCAGCUAAGAAUGUCAUGCAUAUAUUUUGGGCAGAUGGUACAGGUAUAAGGAACUAUCAGCAAUAUGGUGAUUUCCUAAGUUUUGACACAACUUACAAAACAAACAAGUACAAUCUGAAGUUUGCUCCAUUUGUGGGUGUAAAUGGACAUGGAGACAACUGCCUCUUUGCAUGUGGUUUCAUACAAGAUGAGAAGAAGGAAACUUUUGAGUGGUUAUACAAAACUUUUCUGAAGUGCAUGGGAGGGAAAGCUCCAAAAUCUGUAUAA